UGGGGAAUAUUGGACAAUGGGCGCAAGCCUGAUCCAGCCAUGCCGCGUGUGUGAAGAAGGCCUUCGGGUUGUAAAGCACUUUCAGUGGGGAGGAAGGCUAAGUAGUUAAUACCUGCUUAGAUUGACGUUACCCACAGAAGAAGCACCGGCUAACUCCGUGCCAGCAGCCGCGGUAAUACGGAGGGUGCAAGCGUUAAUCGGAAUUACUGGGCGUAAAGCGCACGCAGGCGGUUUGUUAAGCUAGAUGUGAAAGCCCCGGGCUCAACCUGGGAUGGUCAUUUAGAACUGGCAGACUAGAGUCUUGGAGAGGGGAGUGGAAUUCCAGGUGUAGCGGUGAAAUGCGUAGAUAU
This 350-nucleotide ribosomal RNA is filed under the name uncultured bacterium. RNAcentral describes it as "bacterial SSU rRNA". It matches the Rfam family "Bacterial small subunit ribosomal RNA", at positions 355 to 697 of the family's 1533-position model. The record is from RNAcentral.